CGGGGGGCAGCAGUCGAGGAUCUUCGGCAAUGGGCGAAAGCCUGACCGAGCGACGCCGCGUGUGGGAUGAAGGCCUUCGGGUUGUAAACCACUGUCAACGGGGAGGAAAUGCAGGAGGGUACUCCCUCCUGUUUGACCUAUCUGUGGAGGAAGUACGGGCUAAGUUCGUGCCAGCAGCCGCGGUAAGACGAACCGUACAAACGUUAUUCGGAAUCACUGGGCUUAAAGGGUGCGUAGGCUGCGCGGUAAGUUGGGUGUGAAAGCCCUCGGCUCAACCGAGGAACUGCGCUCAAAACUACCGUGCUGGAGGGAGACAGAGGUGAGCGGAACUCAGGGUGGAGCGGUGAAAUGCGUUGAUAUCCUGAGGAACACCGGUGGCGAAGGCGGCUCACUGGGUCUCUUCUGACGCUGAGGCACGAAAGCCAAGGUAGCAAACGGGAUUAGAUACCCCAGU
Molecule: ribosomal RNA, 454 nt
Filed under: uncultured Pirellulaceae bacterium
Lineage: Bacteria; Pseudomonadati; Planctomycetota; Planctomycetia; Pirellulales; Pirellulaceae
Description: bacterial SSU rRNA
Rfam family: Bacterial small subunit ribosomal RNA
Source: RNAcentral